RNAcentral lists this ribosomal RNA (273 nucleotides) under uncultured prokaryote. RNAcentral's name for it is "partial 16S ribosomal RNA". It matches the Rfam family "Bacterial small subunit ribosomal RNA", at positions 524 to 798 of the family's 1533-position model. The record is from RNAcentral.
CACGGGGGUUGCGAGCGUUGUCCGGAAUUACUAGGCGUAAAGGGCAGGCAGGCGGAUCCAUAAGUUUAUCGUUUAAGGCGUCGGCUUAACCGGCGUAGGGCGGUAGAUACUGUGGAUCUGGAUGCGGUUGGGGAAGACAGAAUUCCUGGUGUAGCGGUGGAAUGCGCAGAGAUCAGGAGGAAUACCGAAUGCGAAGGCAGUCUUCCAAGCCGUUAUUGUCGCUCAACUGCGAAGGUGUGGGUAUCAAACAGGAUUAGAUACCCUGUAGUCCCU